Molecule: ribosomal RNA, 992 nt
Filed under: Parvicapsula bicornis
Lineage: Eukaryota; Metazoa; Cnidaria; Myxozoa; Bivalvulida; Parvicapsulidae
Description: SSU rRNA
Rfam family: Eukaryotic small subunit ribosomal RNA
Source: RNAcentral
AUCCAGACAUUGGGAGGUAGCGACGAGAAAUAGCGAGGCGGGCCAAAGGCUCGCUAUCGCAAUGGACCAAACCUAAAGAGGUUGGUGAGUAGCAACUGGAGGGCAAGUCUGGUGCCAGCAGCCGCGGUAAUUCCAGCUCCAGUAGUGUAUAUCAAAAUUGUUGCGGUUAAAACGCUCGUAGUCGGAGGAGAAAGACAAGUGGUCGUUGCGAUUCAAUCGCGGCGGCCUCGGGUCUUGUGGUCGCGGGCUCCGGUGGUGAGCUUUAAUGCUUGUGGCCGGUCGCUCGCGAAGCGUGCCUUGAAUAAAGCAGAGUGCUCAAAGCAAGCGCAACGCGUGAAUGUGAUAGCAUGGAACGAAGCAAGACGCGAGCGCGGUUUGUCGGUGAGGCUGCAGAGAUGCGGCCGUCCGGGCCGGGGCAACUCGGCCUGGAGCCGCGCUCGGUCGGAAUCAAGAGGGCCACUUGAGGGCGUUAGUACUUGGUGGCGAGAGGUGAAAUUCUUAGACCCACCAAAGACUGGCUAAUGCGAAAGCAUUCGCCAAGAGUGUUUUCAUUGAUCAAGAACGAAAGUUGGAGGUUCGAAGACGAUCAGAUACCGUCCUAGUUCCACACAGUAAACGAUGCCAACAUGGGGUCAGCUCGAARGUGUUCAGGUUGGUCUCGCCGGGAAACCUGUAGUGUUCGGGUUCCGGGGAGAGUACUAUCGCAAGGUAGAAAUUUAAAGGAAUUGACGGAAGGGCACCACCAGGAGUGGAGCCUGCGGCUUAAUUUGACUCAACACGGGGCAACUCACCAGGUCCGGACAUGGGCAGGAUUGACAGAGCGAAGAUCUUUCAUGAUUUCAUGGAUGGUGGUGCAUGGCCGUUCUUAGUUGGUGGAGUGAUCUGUCAGGUUUAUUCCGGUAACGAGCGAGACCACGGUGUCUAGUUUAUGGCGGGCGGGCCCAGCAAUGGGUGCGUUCGAUACUAGACAGACGACCGGAUUGAAGCCGGGG